AUUUAGAUAGUUUAAUAAAAAUAUUGAUUUGUGAUAUCAAAGAUAUAAUUUAUUUAUUUUAAAUA
This 65-nucleotide transfer RNA is filed under the name Erotylidae sp. BMNH 1274780. Its description in RNAcentral is "tRNA-His". Lineage: Eukaryota; Metazoa; Arthropoda; Insecta; Coleoptera; Erotylidae. The record is from RNAcentral.